Molecule: long non-coding RNA, 361 nt
Organism: Passer domesticus (house sparrow)
Lineage: Eukaryota; Metazoa; Chordata; Aves; Passeriformes; Passeridae
Exons: 4
Source: RefSeq, a predicted model, not a curated record
UCUGUGUGUUGCAGUGGGACUCACCUGUGAGCAAUGUGGCUAACCAUGGGGUGCCCACAACUGGAGGGAUAUUAUAUACAUUUCUACCCUUUUGGAAUGUUCUGACUUGCAAGGAAAAGUACCUUCCUUGGGAGGGAGAAGAUCCAGCAGCACCCUCAGCUCUUGGCAGAUCACAGAGCUAUGGCAGAAGGAGCACAGUGACAUAAGCAUGGCCCUAGGGGGACUUUCUUAAUCCUCCAUUAAGGUGGCUGUGUGUACUUUGCCAGUGCUAAUGAGUCCGGUCUCACAGCACCGAGGAGACAAGCUGCAGUUACAAACUCGCUCAAAGUGACGGCUUAUUUAUGUGGUCCGGGAGCGUUUG